AGUGAACGCUGGCGGUGGGCCUAACACAUGCAAGUCGAACGGCAGCACAGUAAGAGCUUGCUCUUACGGGUGGCGAGUGGCGGACGGGUGAGGAAUACAUCGGAAUCUACUUUUUCGUGGGGGAUAACGUAGGGAAACUUACGCUAAUACCGCAUACGACCUACGGGUGAAAGCAGGGGAUCUUCGGACCUUGCGCGAUUGAAUGAGCCGAUGUCGGAUUAGCUAGUUGGCGGGGUAAAGGCCUACCAAGGCGACGAUCCGUAGCUGGUCUGAGAGGAUGAUCAGCCACACUGGAACUGAGACACGGUCCAGACUCCUACGGGAGGCAGCAGUGGGGAAUAUUGGACAAUGGGCGCAAGCCUGAUCCAGCCAUACCGCGUGGGUGAAGAAGGCCUUCGGGUUGUAAAGCCCUUUUGUUGGGAAAGAAAAGCAGCAGGUUAAUACCCCGCUGUUCUGACGGUACCCAAAGAAUAAACACCGGCUAACUUCGU
Molecule: ribosomal RNA, 491 nt
Filed under: uncultured bacterium
Lineage: Bacteria
Description: partial 16S ribosomal RNA
Rfam family: Bacterial small subunit ribosomal RNA
Source: RNAcentral